RNAcentral lists this ribosomal RNA (253 nucleotides) under uncultured bacterium. Its description in RNAcentral is "partial 16S ribosomal RNA". It matches the Rfam family "Bacterial small subunit ribosomal RNA", at positions 524 to 776 of the family's 1533-position model. The record is from RNAcentral.
UACGGAGGGUGCAGGCGUUAUCCGGAUUCACUGGGUUUAAAGGGUGCGUAGGUGGGCAGGUAAGUCAGUGGUGAAAUCUCCGGGCUUAACCCGGAAACUGCCAUUGAUACUAUUUGUCUUGAAUACCGUGGAGGUCAGCGGAAUAUGUCAUGUAGCGGUGAAAUGCUUAGAUAUGACAUAGAACACCGAUAGCGAAGGCAGCUUGCUACACAAUUAUUGACACUGAGGCUCGAAAGCGUGGGGAUCAAACAGG